This is a long non-coding RNA of Lethenteron reissneri (Far Eastern brook lamprey), 2733 nucleotides long. RefSeq lists it as uncharacterized. Lineage: Eukaryota; Metazoa; Chordata; Hyperoartia; Petromyzontiformes; Petromyzontidae. The record is from RefSeq and is a predicted model, not a curated record.
AGGGGUGGCGAGGGGGCGAGGAGGGUGGCGGUGAGCGGCAGCUCUCGGAGUCGCCGAGUCGCCACGAGAGACGUGGGGAGCGGUGAGAGACGCGGCGGGGACGGAGGAGAGUUCCAUACAGCAGCAACUACGGUGCCACCGGAACACGACGGCAGACGAUGACAGGUCACACCCAGGUGUCAGCCCAAACCAGAGAGCUGCCACUGUGGUGGUGCAACGGUCAGCGCAAUGGACUCGACUGGACUUCAGCAAUCCAGAGGUCGCCGGUUCGAUUUCAUCUCCUGGCGAAGCGGCUGAAACAAUGCUUGCAAACAACUCCAGCGCCAAGUCCGCCUGCGACCCGGAGGACCGACGGAGUCCCGCGCUGAAUGUGCAGACGUCUCUCGUGUCGCCUCGCCGGCUGGUGAAGAGCUUCAUCAGGUUUCUCCUCCACGAAAUAGACAACAGAUCUGACGCUAGGCCAAGUCGACCAUCAAUCAACACGUGACCUUGGUACUAUUCGACGACGACGACUUGGGUGCGCCAACCAACCGGUGCCACGUGGCCUGCUACAAUUGCUUCUCCUCUGCUCGUUCACCCGGGAGGAAAGCCCUCGCCGAGCCUGCAGGCUCGUUUUCAGGAGGGAUGUUUGCCGCUGCUGUUGACGAUCCCAAUUGGCUAAUUUGCAGGUCAUUGUUCAACAUUCGCAUUUGUGGCCAAUAGGUAUGGGAGAAAACUGCAGAACCUUAAGGACACCCACGCAGAACAGGGGCAGAACGCAGACAGCACACAGAGAGGUGCCCGAGUCGGGAAUCGAAACCUUCCGGUUACCGAACGCAUACGUUGAGGUCACGCUCACUGCACACAAAGCGAGUGCCACAAAUGAACCACAAUAACUUGCUGAUCUCAAGGAACAGAAACCAUCACGCAAACUCAGGUCAUCCUCGCUGUGGAUUUUGGUAAACCAUUGAACAUAGCUGGCCACUGCAUCGUGCGCUUUCAGAUGCGCUUCUCCGGCCGUCUGGAACGCUCUGCCUUCACUGGAGCUAUGCAAUUUUAAAUCAUCUAGAUUAACAAACUCAUGUUCUUUAGAACUGCUUUGUGUUUAGUUUUUUUAUUCCCUCGCACCUCCAAUUUUCACGGUUUAGCUACGUACGGUGCAAAGUAGUUCAACGUACAUGCAUGCAAAGCGCGGCAUUCACGGCCUCCGAAUCAUUCCCUCUCUCUUCGAGAGCGAAAACGGUGCUAUCUGAUAAUUACGCAGAAGCCGUCUCAGCGAGACCUGGAAUGCGAGUAGAAGACACCGUCCCUUGCUCACCACUGACACACACGCUCCCCGUGACACGCGUUAAACGGGACCCCUCAUGGUGGGGUCACGACCCCUCGCCGUGCCCACCAGCACGCACACAGCCACCCGGGUCGGGGACGAUCACGCCGAGACGAAAGCGAGCGUGAUGAUCGAAUCCAAGUUCAUACGUUUCACCCCAACCCUUAUUAAAAAAAGUUAUUGGUGUGAGGAUCUGAUUGACCAAUACUGAAUGACCCCAAAAUCUCACCAGCAUCGCAGCCAAAACUGCCGGUCUGCAAAGUGCAGUGCCACAAGGCAACGACUCAACCGCAACCCAACUGCGACUUGCAAUAUUUGCUGAAAUGACGACGCCUGAUGAAUUUACUACAAAUCCAAAACAUAAGUGGACUGGCUGAAACCGUUGUGUCUUCCUGGAGUCUAUUCCGAGUUCCUGGACUUGAGGCCUGAAGAGGGCUUGGCACAGUUUCAAGCGAAAGGUCGGGGUUCUUACUGCUGCUAAAUCUGGCCUCCAGUUGUUUCUCGACUCUGACCCACGGCGAGCGAGCCAAAAACAAUUGGCUCGUCCCGAAACGCUUGUACACGUGACAAUUCAAUUUGCUUGGCUACGUCAGAUGGUGGAGGGUCUUACGACACAGACAGAAUCAAUAACGUGGCCUCGCCCAAAACAUUAUAACCACGAACGCCAAGUAGGCAGCUUUGUUUGACGAGGGCCAGCCAUGCGUGCGGAGGUGCGUGCGUGGGGGAGCGGGUGUAGGGGUCGCGGCUUCCCUGCUAGCGCCGCACACGGGGCCCACGCGUGCGCAGCCUGCCACGCUGUACCCACCUGAGGACCCAGGGCACACAGCAGCAGCACAAAAACACAAGCACACCGGGUCCUUCAGCACGACUGCAGCAACACCAUCUAUCUUAGCCAGUAAUAGACUGGCAGACUGCUCUCUGAUGGGUCUCUAGAUAGGAAGAAAUUGACAGACUGGUCUCUGGUGGGGUCUCUAGCCAGUAAUAGACUGGCAGACUGGUCUCUGAUAGCUUUGCUGUAGCGGAUUUUCGCGUUUUCAGUGAACGUUGCUCACAAACGCAUCGUCAAUGUAUUCACGAAGGUGCCGAGGUGGUGGCGAUGAUGGCGACGAGGAUGGUGAUGAGGAUGGUGAUGAAAACGUCGGGUGGAGGAGCACUAUUUGUGGUCAGAAAAGACAAUACGAGCAAAACACCGGUGAAAAUAAAAACACAAGACACGAACGAGUGAUGUUUUUGAACGGGUGACAUUUGCAAACCAACAAGUUGUCCACCAAGGGCACCGAGGGCAACAGUAGUCGAACCCCUAAGUGUGGACGUGCCUUUAGCAAAUCCUUCUCCCAGUGUACGGACCAUCCCUUGUGCCAGCCGAAUUCGCGGGGUUUUGGGUUGUGGUUUGUAGCAGCGGGGCAAGGGUUGAGGUUAGGGUUGGG